RNAcentral lists this ribosomal RNA (762 nucleotides) under uncultured bacterium. RNAcentral describes it as "bacterial SSU rRNA". It matches the Rfam family "Bacterial small subunit ribosomal RNA", at positions 607 to 1368 of the family's 1533-position model. The record is from RNAcentral.
GCUCAACCCCGUCGUGCCCGUUGAAACUGGCGUUCUUGAGUGAGCGAGAAGUAUGCGGAAUGCGUGGUGUAGCGGUGAAAUGCAUAGAUAUCACGCAGAACUCCGAUUGCGAAGGCAGCAUACCGGCGCUCAACUGACGCUCAUGCACGAAAGCGUGGGUAUCGAACAGGAUUAGAUACCCUGGUAGUCCACGCAGUAAACGAUGAAUACUAACUGUCCGGGCCGAUUGAGGUCUGGGUGGUACAGCGAAAGCGUUAAGUAUUCCACCUGGGGAGUACGCCGGCAACGGUGAAACUCAAAGGAAUUGACGGGGGCCCGCACAAGCGGAGGAACAUGUGGUUUAAUUCGAUGAUACGCGAGGAACCUUACCCGGGCUCAAACGACGGAUGGAUGUCUCUGAAAGGAGGCAGUCCUACGGGACAUCCGUCGAGGUGCUGCAUGGUUGUCGUCAGCUCGUGCCGUGAGGUGUCGGCUUAAGUGCCAUAACGAGCGCAACCCCCAUCGCCAGUUACCAGCAAGUAAAGUUGGGGACUCUGGCGAGACUGCCGGCGCAAGCUGUGAGGAAGGCGGGGAUGACGUCAAAUCAGCACGGCCCUUACGUCCGGGGCGACACACGUGUUACAAUGGCAGGUACAGAGAGAAGCGAUGCGGCGACGCAGAGCGGAACUUCAAAGCCUGUCUCAGUUCGGAUUGGAGUCUGCAACCCGACUCCAUGAAGCUGGAUUCGCUAGUAAUCGCGCAUCAGCCACGGCGCGGUGAAUA